UACAGAGGUCCCAAGCGUUGUUCGGAUUCACUGGGCGUAAAGGGUGCGUAGGUGGUGAGGUAAGUCGGAUGUGAAAGCUCGGAGCUCAACUCCGAAAUGGCAUUGGAAACUACCUUGCUCGAGGGUUGGAGGGGGGACUGGAAUACUUGGUGUAGCAGUGAAAUUCGUAGAUAUUCGCAAGAACACCAGUGGCGAAGGCGGCUCACUGGCCCGGUACUGACGCUGAGGUGCGAAAGCGUGGGGAGCAAACAGG
RNAcentral lists this ribosomal RNA (253 nucleotides) under uncultured bacterium. RNAcentral's name for it is "partial 16S ribosomal RNA". It matches the Rfam family "Bacterial small subunit ribosomal RNA", at positions 524 to 776 of the family's 1533-position model. The record is from RNAcentral.